This 503-nucleotide unclassified non-coding RNA is filed under the name Hevea brasiliensis (rubber tree). The record is from RNAcentral. Lineage: Eukaryota; Viridiplantae; Streptophyta; Magnoliopsida; Malpighiales; Euphorbiaceae.
AUGAACUGGGCAUACCCGCUGAUGAUGUACCGGUCGAUGAGUUCACUCCUCUCGGUCGCAUUCUGUACAAAGCUCCCUCGGAUGGAAAGUGGGGAGAGCAUGAGCUUGAUUAUCUGCUCUUCAUCGUCCACGAUGUUAAACUGCAUCCAAACCCUGACGAAGUUGCUGAUGUGAAGUAUGUGAACCGGGGUGAAUUGAAAGAACUGCUGAGGAAGGCUGAUGCUGGCGAGGAUGGGGUAAAACUAUCACCCUGGUUCAGGCUGGUUGUGGAUAACUUCCUGCUAAAAUGGUGGGACCAUGUCGAGACUGGCACUCUCCUGGAGGUUGCUGACAUGAAAACCAUCCAUAAGCUGUGACAUGAAAGCUACUGCUUGUGUUACUUCUGUCUUUGGAGGAUUUAAAUGGAUGAAUUAGGGGUAUGUUUGCUCUUAGAGGAAACUGAUUAGCGGAUUCUGGUAUGAUCCAUUUGGUUGUGAUGCCUAGUUACCAUGGUUUUAUGGUUG